CCAACACAGCCUUUGGCUGCCUCCCCCUUCUCCUUCCCCUGGAGGGAAGCGGGCAGCAUCUCCCUUUGGGAUACAGGGAGCAGCCUGCUCCUCUCCCACCCCACCCCCCUCCAAGUUGAUCCUGGAUGAGGGGGGUGUUGAGCCCAUUCAAAUGCUGCAGGAGAAGGUGGGGAGGAUGAUGAUGAGGGUACAAAAAGAGGAGGAAUGGGAUGGAAGGACCCCCCAACUCCAAACCCACAGAUCUUGGCAGAAGGAAUGGCACAGGGGUUAGCAGCUUAAGAGUGUUGUGAACAGAGUAGCCUUGAAGCAGAAAAUGGCCCUGAUGCAGUCAAGACUACAAGCGCAGAGACGGAUUCUGUAAAAUGCAGAAGGUGAUGAGUGACAACAUUGCCAGUUCAGAGGUACAACAGUGGUGCUUCAGGGAGUUCUCUUACAAGGAAGCGGAGGGUCCCCGAGCGGCUUGUGCCCAACUCUAUCAUCUUUGUCGUCGGUGGCUGAAGCCAGAAAGGCACACCAAGGCUCAGAUCCUGGACCUGGUGAUCCUGGAGCAGU
Molecule: non-coding RNA, 552 nt
Organism: Pogona vitticeps (central bearded dragon)
Lineage: Eukaryota; Metazoa; Chordata; Lepidosauria; Squamata; Agamidae
Source: RefSeq, a predicted model, not a curated record